AUGGCUGAAGAGCUGAGCACCCUGAUGAAGGCCUCGGUCCUGAUGUGGCAUCCCGGGUGGGUGCAGGAGAUUGUCGGUGCCCUCCACAGGGGCAGGGGAGACCAGUUACAGGUGAUUUCUGAUUUUGACACGACCUUAAGAAUGUUUGCAUAUAAUGGGAAGCUCCUUCUUCUCACAAUAUUCUGGACAACAGCAAGAUCAUCAGCCAUGAUUGUAGGAAAGAGCUCAUGGAGCUCCUUCACCACUACUACCCAAUUGAGAUUGACCCCCACUGGACCAUCAAGGAGAAGCUACCACAUAUGGUGGAGUGGUGGACCAAAGCACACAAUCUCCUGUGUCAGCAGAAGAUCCAGAAGUUUCAGAUAGCCCAAGUGGUUAGAGAGUCCAGUGCAAUGCUCAGGGAGGGAUACAAGACAUUCUUCAACACACUUUAUCAGAACAACAUUCCCCUUUUCAUCUUCUCAGCGGGCACUGGUGAUAUCCUGGAAGAAAUUAUCCGACUGAUGAAAGUAUUCCGCCCCAACAUCCACAUCGUGUCUAACUACAUGGAUUUUAAUGAAGAUGGUUUCCUACAGGGAUUUAAGGGCCAACUCAUAUACACAUACAAUAAGAACAGCUCUGUGUGUGAGAACUCCAGUUACUUCCAGCAGCUUUAGGGCAAAACCAACAUCAUCCUGCUUGGAGACUCCAUGGGGGACCUCACUAUGGCCGAUGGGGUUCCAGGUGUGCAGAACAUUCUGAAGAUCGGCUUCCUAAAUGACAAGGUGGAGGAACGGCAGGACCGCUACAUGGAGUCCUAUGACAUUGUGCUGGAGAAAGAUGAGACGCUGGAUGUGGUCAACAGGCUGCUGCAACACAUCCUGCACCAGGUGGAGAUACAGGGCUUGUGAGGAUGCAGGCUCAGGCCAGGCCCUGCAAGCCAAGAUGAGGAGGGGCCACCAAUUUGGUCAGCUGUUUUUCUGUGAGCACAGAGAAAAGUUUAGGGUGGCCAAGACUGGGCUCUUCCAUGCCCCUCCCUCCUCCUCUCUCCUGCUGCCUUCAUCACUGGAGGCUUAAGGGAGGCCCUGCCCGGCACACAAGCACCAUUCCUGCUGAACUGUUGACCAUGGCAUGUUAGUGCUG
Molecule: RNA transcript, 1122 nt
Organism: Nycticebus coucang (slow loris)
Lineage: Eukaryota; Metazoa; Chordata; Mammalia; Primates; Lorisidae
Gene name: 7-methylguanosine phosphate-specific 5'-nucleotidase-like
Exons: 1
Source: RefSeq, a predicted model, not a curated record